This 396-nucleotide ribosomal RNA is filed under the name uncultured bacterium. RNAcentral describes it as "partial 16S ribosomal RNA". It matches the Rfam family "Bacterial small subunit ribosomal RNA", at positions 523 to 918 of the family's 1533-position model. The record is from RNAcentral.
AUACGUAGGGGGCGAGCGUUGUCCGGAAUGAUUGGGCGUAAAGGGCGCGUAGGCGGCCCGGUAAGUCUGGAGUGAAAGUCCUGUUUUUAAGAUGGGAAUUGCUUUGGAUACUGUCGGGCUUGAGUGCAGGAGAGGUAAGUGGAAUUCCCAGUGUAGCGGUGAAAUGCGUAGAGAUUGGGAGGAACACCAGUGGCGAAGGCGACUUACGUGACUGUAACUGACGCUGAGGCGCGAAAGUGUGGGGAGCAAACAGGAUUAGAUACCCUGGUAGUCCACGCUGUAAACGAUGAUUACUAGGUGUGGGGGGACUGACCCCUUCCGUGCCGCAGUUAACACAAUAAGUAAUCCACCUGGGGAGUACGGCCGCAAGGUUGAAACUUAAAGGAAUUGGCGGGG